CAGGAAAAGCCUCUAAGCUUCAGGUUACCAACAAUCGUACCCCAAACCGACACAGGUGGUCAGGUAGAGAAUACUCAGGCGCUUGAGAGAACUCGGGUGAAGGAACUAGGCAAAAUGGUGCCGUAACUUCGGGAGAAGCACGCUGGCGGUAGGUAAAGUCCCUCGCGGACGGCGCCAAGCCAGUCGAAGAUACCAGCUGGCUGCAACUGUUUAUUAAAAACACAGCACUGUGCAAACACGAAAGUGGACGUAUACGGUGUGACGCCUGCCCGGUGCUGGAAGGUUAAUUGAUGGGGUCAGCCGUAAGGCGAAGCUCCUGAUCGAAGCCCCAGUAAACGGCGGCCGUAACUAUAACGGUCCUAAGGUAGCGAAAUUCCUUGUCGGGUAAGUUCCGACCUGCACGAAUGGCGUAAUGAUGGCCAGGCUGUCUCCACCCGAGACUCAGUGAAAUUGAACUCGCUGUGAAGAUGCAGUGUACCCGCGGCAAGACGGAAAGACCCCGUGAACCUUUACUAUAGCUUGACACUGAACAUUGAGCCUUGAUGUGUAGGAUAGGUGGGAGGCUUUGAAGUGUGGACGCCAGUCUGCAUGGAGCCAACCUUGAAAUACCACCCUUUAACGUUUGAUGUUCUAACCUAGGCCCAUAAACUGGGUCGGGGACCGUGUCUGGUGGGUAGUUUGACUGGGGCGGUCUCCUCCUAAAGAGUAACGGAGGAGCACGAAGGUUGGCUAAGCAUGGUCGGACAUCAUGCGGUUAGUGCAAAGGCAUAAGCCAGCUUGACUGCGAGAGUGACGGCUCGAGCAGGUACGAAAGUAGGUCUUAGUGAUCCGGUGGUUCUGAAUGGAAGGGCCAUCGCUCAACGGAUAAAAGGUACUCCGGGGAUAACAGGCUGAUACCGCCCAAGAGUUCAUAUCGACGGCGGUGUUUGGCACCUCGAUGUCGGCUCAUCACAUCCUGGGGCUGAAGUAGGUCCCAAGGGUAUGGCUGUUCGCCAUUUAAAGUGGUACGCGAGCUGGGUUUAGAACGUCGUGAGACAGUUCGGUCCUAUCUGCCGUGGGCGUUGGAAGAUUGAGAGGGGUUGCUCCUAGUACGAGAGGACCGGAGUGAACGCACCACUGGUGUUCGGGUUGUCAUGCCAAUGGCAUUGCCCGGUAGCUAAGUGCGGAAGAGAUAACCGCUGAAAGCAUCUAAGCGGGAAACUUGCCUCGAGAUGAGUCUUCCCUGUCGCUUUAAGCGACCUAAAGGAACGUUUAAGACUAAGACGUUGAUAGGCUGGGUGUGUAAGCGUAGCGAUACGUUGAGCUAACCAGUACUAAUGAACCGUGAGGCUUAACCUG
This 1338-nucleotide ribosomal RNA is filed under the name Proteus mirabilis. RNAcentral's name for it is "bacterial LSU rRNA". It matches the Rfam family "Bacterial large subunit ribosomal RNA", at positions 1609 to 2925 of the family's 2925-position model. Lineage: Bacteria; Pseudomonadati; Pseudomonadota; Gammaproteobacteria; Enterobacterales; Morganellaceae. The record is from RNAcentral.